Cebus imitator (Panamanian white-faced capuchin) is the source of this 104-nucleotide long non-coding RNA. RefSeq lists it as uncharacterized. The record is from RefSeq and is a predicted model, not a curated record. The transcript has 3 exons. Lineage: Eukaryota; Metazoa; Chordata; Mammalia; Primates; Cebidae.
GUACAUAUGGAAACUCACAUACCAUAUGUCUAAAUACUUAAAAGUUAUCAAUCAAACUAACAAACUGUUAAAUAGAAUAUGUUCUAUUCUCCUACUUUGACAAA